Molecule: ribosomal RNA, 119 nt
Filed under: Betta splendens (Siamese fighting fish)
Lineage: Eukaryota; Metazoa; Chordata; Actinopteri; Anabantiformes; Osphronemidae
Source: RNAcentral
GCUUAUGGCCAUACCACCCUGAGCACGCCCGAUCUCGUCUGAUCUCGGAAGCUAAGCAGGGUCGGUCCUGGUUAGUACUUGGAUGGGAGACCGCCUGGGAAUACCAGGUGCUUUAAGCU